GAUGAACGCUGGCGGCGUGCCUAACACAUGCAAGUCGAGCGGACGGACGAGAAGCUUGUUUCUCUGCUGUUAGCGGCGGACGGGUGAGUAACAAGUGGAUAACAAACUUCUAUUACUUGGGUGAUAACGGGAAGAAAGUGAUGCUAAUACCGGAUAUUAUGUACCGGUUGGAUCAAAAGUGCAAGACAGUUUUGGUGUCAGUAUGAGAUGGAUCCGCGCUGCAUUAGCUAGUUGGUAAGGUAACGGCUUACCAAGGCGACGAUGCGUAGCCGACCUGAGAGGAUGAUCGGCCACACUGGAACUGAGACACGGUCCAGACUCCUACGGGAGGCAGCAGUAGGGAAUAUUCCGCAAUGGGCGAAAGCCUGAUGGAGCAACGCCGCGUGGGUGAUGAAGGUCUUCGGAUCGUAAAGCUCUUUUAUUGGGGAAGAACAUAUGCGGAUUUAUCUGUGGAUGUCUUGACGGUACCUAAACAAAAAGCAACGGCUAACUACGUG
Molecule: ribosomal RNA, 497 nt
Filed under: uncultured bacterium
Lineage: Bacteria
Description: partial 16S ribosomal RNA
Rfam family: Bacterial small subunit ribosomal RNA
Source: RNAcentral